UCUCCGUAGGUGAACCUGCGGAGGGAUCAUUACAGAGUUCAUGCCCUACCGGGUAGAUCUCCCACCCUAUGUUAUUAUUACUUUGUUGCUUUGGCGGGCCGUUAGGCUCCGGCCCGACUACCGGCCCCGGCUGGUAAGCGCCCGCCAGAGGACCCAAAACCCUGAAUAUUAGUGACGUCUGAGUACUAUAUAAUAGUUAAAACUUUCAACAACGGAUCUCUUGGUUCUG
Molecule: unclassified non-coding RNA, 229 nt
Filed under: plant metagenome
Description: partial contains small subunit ribosomal RNA, internal transcribed spacer 1, and 5.8S ribosomal RNA
Source: RNAcentral